UUUUCCCCCUCAUGCAGCGGGAUCCCGGGCCGCGCCGGGCGCUGGGCACCUCCUGAACGGCCUGCUCGCUUCCCGCUGCCGACCAAUUGCACACCCUCCCUUCCAACACCUAGCCGACCUCAGGAAGGAAGAGACUUUUGGCUCAAGUUCAAGAUAUUUAGAGAAAACCUCACAUCAGUAUACAGACAGUGAGAAUCAGCCAAUCGCCGACAGCCUCACUACAGUGGCUCUGCUUCUGAAAGUCAGCCGGUCAACAGCUUCUCCCCGUAACUCAGUUUCUGAAAGUUAGUAAAUCAAUCGCGGGCCCCAGGCUUCUGAAAGUGAGCCAAUCAUUGGCAGCUCCACGCGGGCACCAGCCAAUCAGCAAGUGCCUCACUCCAGGGACCAGGCUUCUGAAAGUUCGCCGGUCCUCACGGUGACCUGACAACAGUGACCACGCUAACAGAGCCUCAAGUCGGCCCGUCGCUGGACUCUCCCGAUUCUGAACCCGCCAAUUCCUGAACGCUAGGCUUCCCCAAGCCCAUAAGAUCAGUUCUGGUUUUGUUUAGGGAGAUGGUGCCUUACAAGUACAGCUUUCUUUUGCUGACCGACGAGAAAUUAAUCUUCUUUUUUUUCUUUUAAUCAUACUGAGUUCAAUAUUCCCCCACCUUGUCAAGUCCUAGGUUCGUAACCCUUCCAAGAUUCAAUUCUCGCCGUUAUGAGUUUGGACUAGUGACAAGCGCAAUGUCAAAGCCAUGAGAUUUUUAAAAGACAACUUUUUCAAUUCUUGUGACA
Molecule: long non-coding RNA, 774 nt
Organism: Myotis davidii
Lineage: Eukaryota; Metazoa; Chordata; Mammalia; Chiroptera; Vespertilionidae
Exons: 2
Source: RefSeq, a predicted model, not a curated record